This 75-nucleotide transfer RNA is filed under the name archaeon. RNAcentral's name for it is "tRNA-Ile". It matches the Rfam family "tRNA". Rfam says of the family: Transfer RNA (tRNA) molecules are approximately 80 nucleotides in length. Their secondary structure includes four short double-helical elements and three loops (D, anti-codon, and T loops). Further hydrogen bonds mediate the characteristic L-shaped molecular structure. tRNAs have two regions of fundamental functional importance: the anti-codon, which is responsible for specific mRNA codon recognition, and the 3' end, to which the tRNAs corresponding amino acid is attached (by aminoacyl-tRNA synthetases). tRNAs cope with the degeneracy of the genetic code in two manners: having more than one tRNA (with a specific anti-codon) for a particular amino acid; and 'wobble' base-pairing, i.e. permitting non-standard base-pairing at the 3rd anti-codon position. The record is from RNAcentral.
GGGCCUGUGGCUUAGUCCGGUUAUAGCACUACUCUGAUAAGGUAGGGGUCGCUGAUUCAAAUUCAGCCAGGCCCA